UGGCGGCGUGCUUAACACAUGCAAGUCGAACGAUGAACCACUUCGGUGGGGAUUAGUGGCGAACGGGUGAGUAACACGUGGGCAAUCUGCCCUGCACUCUGGGACAAGCCCUGGAAACGGGGUCUAAUACCGGAUAUGACCCUCGCAGGCAUCUGUGAGGGUGUAAAGCUCCGGCGGUGCAGGAUGAGCCCGCGGCCUAUCAGCUUGUUGGUGAGGUAACGGCUCACCAAGGCGACGACGGGUAGCCGGCCUGAGAGGGCGACCGGCCACACUGGGACUGAGACACGGCCCAGACUCCUACGGGAGGCAGCAGUGGGGAAUAUUGCACAAUGGGCGAAAGCCUGAUGCAGCGACGCCGCGUGAGGGAUGACGGCCUUCGGGUUGUAAACCUCUUUCAGCAGGGAAGAAGCGAGAGUGACGGUACCUGCAGAAGAAGCGCCGGCUAACUACGUGCCAGCAGCCGCGGUAAUACGUAGGGCGCAAGCGUUGUCCGGAAUUAUUGGGCGUAAAGAGCUCGUAGGCGGCUUGUCACGUCGGUUGUGAAAGCCCGGGGCUUAACCCCGGGUCUGCAGUCGAUACGGGCAGGCUAGAGUUCGGUAGGGGAGAUCGGAAUUCCUGGUGUAGCGGUGAAAUGCGCAGAUAUCAGGAGGAACACCGGUGGCGAAGGCGGAUCUCUGGGCCGAUACUGACGCUGAGGAGCGAAAGCGUGGGGAGCGAACAGGAUUAGAUACCCUGGUAGUCCACGCCGUAAACGGUGGGCACUAGGUGUGGGCGACAUUCCACGUCGUCCGUGCCGCAGCUAACGCAUUAAGUGCCCCGCCUGGGGAGUACGGCCGCAAGGCUAANACUCAAAGGAAUUGAC
This 862-nucleotide ribosomal RNA is filed under the name Streptomyces sp. Sp080513G1-19. Its description in RNAcentral is "bacterial SSU rRNA". It matches the Rfam family "Bacterial small subunit ribosomal RNA", at positions 37 to 914 of the family's 1533-position model. The record is from RNAcentral. Lineage: Bacteria; Bacillati; Actinomycetota; Actinomycetes; Kitasatosporales; Streptomycetaceae.